AUUAACCGGAUUAGAUACCCUGGUAGUCCACGCCCUAAACGAUGUCUACUAGUUGUCGGGUUUUAAUUAACUUGGUAACGCAGCUAACGCGUGAAGUAGACCGCCUGGGGAGUACGGUCGCAAGAUUAAAACUCAAAGGAAUUGACGGGGACCCGCACAAGCGGUGGAUGAUGUGGAUUAAUUCGAUGCAACGCGAAAAACCUUACCUACCCUUGACAUGUCAGGAAUCCUCGAGAGAUUGAGGAGUGCCCGAAAGGGAACCUGAACACAGGUGCUGCAUGGCUGUCGUCAGCUCGUGUCGUGAGAUGUUGGGUUAAGUCCCGCAACGAGCGCAACCCUUGUCAUUAGUUGCUACGAAAGGGCACUCUAAUGAGACUGCCGGUGACAAACCGGAGGAAGGUGGGGAUGACGUCAAGUCCUCAUGGCCCUUAUGGGUAGGGCUUCACACGUCAUACAAUGGUCGGGACAGAGGGUCGCCAACCCGCGAGGGGGAGCCAAUCCCAGAAACCCGAUCGUAGUCCGGAUCGCAGUCUGCAACUCGACUGCGUGAAGUCGGAAUCGCUAGUAAUCGCGGAUCAGCAUGUCGCGGUGAAUACGUUCCCGGGUCUUGUACACACCGCCCGUCACACCAUGGGAGUGGGUUUUACCAGAAGUAGUUAGCCUAACCGCAAGGGGGGCGAUUACCACGGUAGGAUUCAUGACUGGGGUGAAGUCGUAACAAGGUAGCCAAUC
Molecule: ribosomal RNA, 732 nt
Filed under: uncultured bacterium
Lineage: Bacteria
Description: bacterial SSU rRNA
Rfam family: Bacterial small subunit ribosomal RNA
Source: RNAcentral